RNAcentral lists this ribosomal RNA (428 nucleotides) under uncultured bacterium. RNAcentral's name for it is "partial 16S ribosomal RNA". It matches the Rfam family "Bacterial small subunit ribosomal RNA", at positions 354 to 796 of the family's 1533-position model. The record is from RNAcentral.
GUGGGGAAUAUUGGUCAAUGGGGGAAACCCUGAACCAGCAACGCCGCGUGAAGGAAGAAGGCUUUCGGGUUGUAAACUUCUUUGACAGGGGACGAAACAAAUGACGGUACCCUGAAAACAAGCCACGGCUAACUACGUGCCAGCAGCCGCGGUAAUACGUGGGUGGCAAGCGUUGUCCGGAUUUACUGGGUGUAAAGGGCGUGUAGGCGGGACGGUAAGUCAGAUGUGAAAUGUAGGGGCUCAACCCCUGAACUGCAUUUGAAACUAUCGUUUUGGGGUGAUGGGGAGGCAGGCGGAAUCCCGUGUGUAGCGGUGAAAGGCGUAGAUAUACGGAGGAACACCGGUGGCGAAGGCGGCCUGCUGGACAUUAACUGACGCUGAGGCGCGAAAGCGUGGGGAGCAAACAGGAUUAGAUACCCGGGUAGUCC